This 400-nucleotide ribosomal RNA is filed under the name uncultured bacterium. RNAcentral describes it as "bacterial SSU rRNA". It matches the Rfam family "Bacterial small subunit ribosomal RNA", at positions 355 to 769 of the family's 1533-position model. The record is from RNAcentral.
UGGGGAAUAUUGCACAAUGGGCGAAAGCCUGAUGCAGCAACGCCGCGUGAGGGAAGACGGUCUUCGGAUUGUAAACCUCUGUUCUUGGUGACGAAACAAAUGACGGUAGCCAAGCAGAAAGCCACGGCUAACUACGUGCCAGCAGCCGCGGUAAUACGUAGGUGGCAAGCGUUGUCCGGAAUUACUGGGUGUAAAGGGAGCGCAGGCGGAUGAGCAAGUCAGCUGUGAAAACUACAGGCUUAACUUGUAGAUUGCAGUUGAAACUGUUCACCUUGAGUGGAGUAGAGGUAAGCGGAAUUCCGAGUGUAGCGGUGAAAUGCGUAGAUAUUCGGAGGAACACCAGUGGCGAAGGCGGCUUACUGGGCUCUAACUGACGCUGAGGCUCGAAAGUGUGGGGAGC